Molecule: non-coding RNA, 536 nt
Organism: Onychostoma macrolepis
Lineage: Eukaryota; Metazoa; Chordata; Actinopteri; Cypriniformes; Cyprinidae
Source: the annotation of a RefSeq genome assembly
AGAAGAAGAAGAAGACACACCUCCUCUGUGAGGACUGAACUCAUACAUUAGAAUUGGAGCACAGAGAACAUUAAUACACUGAUCUGACAGUAAACAUGGUAAAAUGCCUGUUUCUGAUUUUAAUUCUGACUCCAGGUGUGAUGACUGCAGACCAGAUCAGGCCAAAUCAAGAAACUAGUGUCAAGAAUGAAGAUGAGACUGUUACCCUCAGCUGCUCAUAUGAUACAAGCAGCAGAUAUGUUAGACUUUACUGGUACAGACAGUAUCCUAAUAAAGAACCUCAGUAUUUAAUGUGGAAAGAGGCUCGGGAUUGGAGUAGCACUGGGACCCCAGCUGAUCCUCGCUUUCAGGCGACUACAUCAGAAACAUCCACUGAACUCACUAUUACUGGUGUAACUCUGUCAGAUUCAGCUCUCUAUUAUUGUGCUCUAUGGAGCCCAUCCUCAUCUAAACUGACUGAAAAUCUCUGGAAAAUCCUUGGCGACAGAGUUAUGGCUAAGAAACCCAUUCAGUUACCAAACUAUGGAAGAGAGUGA